AAGAGAGUAACAUAGUGGUUAAAAUGUAGUUAGCUUGAAACUAAUUGAAGGGGGUUCGAUUC
Molecule: transfer RNA, 62 nt
Filed under: Platemys platycephala
Lineage: Eukaryota; Metazoa; Chordata; Testudines; Chelidae
Description: tRNA-Ser
Rfam family: tRNA
About the family: Transfer RNA (tRNA) molecules are approximately 80 nucleotides in length. Their secondary structure includes four short double-helical elements and three loops (D, anti-codon, and T loops). Further hydrogen bonds mediate the characteristic L-shaped molecular structure. tRNAs have two regions of fundamental functional importance: the anti-codon, which is responsible for specific mRNA codon recognition, and the 3' end, to which the tRNAs corresponding amino acid is attached (by aminoacyl-tRNA synthetases). tRNAs cope with the degeneracy of the genetic code in two manners: having more than one tRNA (with a specific anti-codon) for a particular amino acid; and 'wobble' base-pairing, i.e. permitting non-standard base-pairing at the 3rd anti-codon position.
Source: RNAcentral